CUAUUGAUUGAUGUUAUACCCUGGGUGAAAGGCUAGUUCUGGUUCACCUCUUGAUUGAUGUUAUACCCUGGGAUGAAAGGCUAGUUAUGUUAUACCCUGGGAUGAAAGGCUAGUUCUGAUAUAUCCUGGGAUGAAAGGCUAGUUCUGUUAUACCCUGGGAUGAAAGACUAGUUCUGAUAUAUCCUGGGAUGAAAGGCUAGUUCUGUUAUACCCUGGGAUGAAAGGCUAGUUCUGAUAUACCCUGGGAUGAAAGGCUAGUUCUGGUUCACCUGUUGAUUGAUGUUAUACCCUGGGAUGAAAGGCUAGUUCUGAUAUACCCUGGGAUGAAAGGUUAGUUCUGGUUCACCUAUUGAUUGAUGUUAUACCCUGGGUGAAAGGCUAGUUCUGGUUCACCUCUUGAUUGAUGUUAUACCCUGGGAUGAAAGGCUAGUUAUGUUAUACCCUGGGAUGAAAGGCUAGUUCUGAUAUAUCCUGGGAUGAAAGGUUAGUUCUGGUUCACCUGUUGAUUGAUGAUAUACCCUGGGAUGAAAGGCUAGUUCUGGUUCACCUGUUGAUUGAUGAUAUAUCCUGGGAUGAAAGGUUAGUGCUGGUUCACCUGUUGAUUGAUGAUAUACCCUGGGAUGAAAGGCUAGUUCUGUUAUACCCUGGGAUGAAAGGCUAGUUCUGUUAUACCCUGGGAUGAAAGACUAGUUCUGAUAUAUCCUGGGAUGAAAGGCUAGUUCUGUUAUACCCUGGGAUGAAAGGCUAGUUCUGGUUCACCUGUUGAUUGAUGUUAUACCCUGGGAUGAAAGGCUAGUUCUGUUAUACCCUGGGAUGAAAGGCUAGUUCUGUUAUACCCUGGGAUGAAAGGCUAGUUCUGAUAUACCCUGGGAUGAAAGGCUAGUUCUGAUAUACCCUGGGAUGAAAGGCUAGUUCUGUUAUACCCUGGGAUGAAAGGCUAGUUCUGGUAUACCCUGGGAUGAAAGGCUAGUUCUGUUAUACCCUGGGAUGAAAGGCUAGUUCUGGUUCACCUGUUGAUUGAUGUUAUACCCUGGGAUGAAAGGCUAGUUCUGGUUCACCUGUUGAUUGAUGAUAUACCCUGAGAUGAAAGGCUAGUUCUGGUUCACCUGUUGAUUGAUGAUAUACCCUGGGAUGAAAGACUAGUUCUGGUUCACCUGUUGAUUGAUGUUAUACCCUGGGAUGAAAGGCUAGUUCUGUUAUACCCUGGGAUGAAAGGCUAGUUCUGAUAUACCCUGGGAUGAAAGGCUAGUUCUGGUUCACCUGUUGAUUGAUGUUAUACCCUGGGAUGAAAGACUAGUUCUGUUAUACCCUGGGAUGAAAGGCUAGUUCUGUUAUACCCUGGGAUGAAAGGCUAGUUCUGGUUCACCUGUUGAUUGAUGUUAUACCCUGGGAUGAAAGACUAGUUCUGUUAUACCCUGGGAUGAAAGGCUAGUUCUGUUAUACCCUGGGAUGAAAGGCUAGUUCUGGUUCACCUGUUGAUUGAUGUUAUACCCUGGGAUGAAAGACUAGUUCUGUUAUACCCUGGGAUGAAAGGCUAGUUCUGUUAUACCCUGGGAUGAAAGGCUAGUUCUGGUUCACCUGUUGAUUGAUGUUAUACCCUGGGAUGAAAGACUAGUUCUGUUAUACCCUGGGAUGAAAGGCUAGUUCUGUUAUACCCUGGGAUGAAAGGCUAGUUCUGGUUCACCUGUUGAUUGAUGUUAUACCCUGGGAUGAAAGACUAGUUCUGUUAUACCCUGGGAUGAAAGGCUAGUUCUGUUAUACCCUGGGGUGAAAGACUAGUUCUGAAUCAGUCAGGAUACUCUUCAAAAAAGGUCCAAAGCAACAUGUUUAUUUUUCAGCAUUCUGGUACGACUCUUUUUUACAGUGUCUUCACAUAACGUCUGUUCUGUGGUCAGAUUCCUCCAUCUUGUUUUACUGUGGUGGUGUUGUAGUUUUGUUCUGUGUCUCGGUCUGUUGCCACUUCCUGUAGCCGUUCAGGUCUGACUGAGGGUGUAUCCCAAAUAGCAACCUAUUCAUUAUGUAGGGGAUUACUGUUGACCAGAGACCUAUGGCCAAAACGAGUGCACUAUAUAUAUAUAUAUAUAUAUAUAUAGGGAAUAAGGUGCUAUUUGUGACGUGAGCCUGACUCCAGGUCAGUUCCCUGACAGGUCAGAGCCAGUGGGUCUGAGGUCCUGUCCUCCUGAUCGUAGAAGAUCUGUCCUCCCAGCUGAGUGACUCGGGGCUGUAGAACGGAGAGAGGAGAACGGUACCCACCGAGAGAAGAAGAGAGAGAGAGGCUACUUUCACCUACAGAGUUUCAAAUAAAAAAAUUUAAAAUGUUUCUUGUUCAUAUACAUUUAUUUUUAUUUUUUAAAGAUGGCAUUAAGAAGAAAGGAAAACCUCUGAAUGUACAUUGUCUGUCUGUAAAUAUUUGCACCAGUGGUGCUCUCUGUUUCUAGUAUUGUGUAGGAGAAAGCAGAGGAAGACUGUGAUAACGUUGUGCAUGUAGAAAGCAGCAGGGAAUCAACAUACAAAUGACAACAACGAAAUGACUUUCCACUCGUUGAAUCUGGAGCCUGAAUGUCUUCGUCACCUGUCAUCUCUCUUCAUCCUAACACGUUCUAACUUUUAAUAAACAUGUGUUGGCUUUUGUAUCCAGAA
Oncorhynchus keta (chum salmon) is the source of this 2640-nucleotide long non-coding RNA. RefSeq lists it as uncharacterized. The transcript is spliced from 5 exons. Lineage: Eukaryota; Metazoa; Chordata; Actinopteri; Salmoniformes; Salmonidae. The record is from RefSeq and is a predicted model, not a curated record.